Molecule: ribosomal RNA, 710 nt
Filed under: uncultured bacterium
Lineage: Bacteria
Description: bacterial SSU rRNA
Rfam family: Bacterial small subunit ribosomal RNA
Source: RNAcentral
AGCGGCGGACGGGUGAGUAACGCGUGGGUAACCUGCCCUGUACACACGGAUAACAUACCGAAAGGUAUGCUAAUACGAGAUAAUAUGCUUUUAUCGCAUGGUAGAAGUAUCAAAGCUCCGGCGGUACAGGAUGGACCCGCGUCUGAUUAGCUAGUUGGUAAGGUAACGGCUUACCAAGGCGACGAUCAGUAGCCGACCUGAGAGGGUGAUCGGCCACAUUGGAACUGAGACACGGUCCAAACUCCUACGGGAGGCAGCAGUGGGGAAUAUUGCACAAUGGGCGAAAGCCUGAUGCAGCAACGCCGCGUGAGCGAUGAAGGCCUUCGGGUCGUAAAGCUCUGUCCUCAAGGAAGAUAAUGACGGUACUUGAGGAGGAAGCCCCGGCUAACUACGUGCCAGCAGCCGCGGUAAUACGUAGGGGGCUAGCGUUAUCCGGAAUUACUGGGCGUAAAGGGUGCGUAGGUGGUUUCUUAAGUCAGAGGUGAAAGGCUACGGCUCAACCGUAGUAAGCCUUUGAAACUGGGAAGCUUGAGUGCAGGAGAGGAGAGUGGAAUUCCUAGUGUAGCGGUGAAAUGCGUAGAUAUUAGGAGGAACACCAGUUGCGAAGGCGGCUCUCUGGACUGUAACUGACACUGAGGCACGAAAGCGUGGGGAGCAAACAGGAUUAGAUACCCUGGUAGUCCACGCCGUAAACGAUGGGUACUAGCUGU